UGCCCAGCUGGAAACGGAAUCUGUUGUUCACACCUCCCUUGCAGUUAGGUGUGGCCACGGGACGGAUUCUGGUCUAUGGGGAUUUAAAGGGACGUUUCUCCUCAGGUGCUGUCCGUCUCCCUGCCUCCGUCCCCCUUUCUUCCUGACGGCUCCUUGGUGGCUGGGGCUGCGUCCUGUACCGUGAGGAAGAGACCAGUGGCAUCGUCUUGCAGAGACCUCAGCUGUGAUGGCCUCAAGCCAUGCAGGGUCCCCCGUGGUCUUCUUGCUGCCAUCCCCGUGGCACCUCUGCUGUUUGUUCCUGGCCAGGGUCCACCGAGCACCUGCCAUGCCACGCCCUGGGCCAGGAGGUCCAACCUGGCGGAACACAACGGUCAAGGUCUCUGUCCGCCUGCGGCGUCCAUCCUCGGCUGAUGCACUGGGGAAUCAUUUAUUGUCCCAAACAAUGACAACUGUGGGAAGGAAAGUGUCAGAGUGUGUCAAAGGCUGUGACUCAGGCUGCGGUGCUCUUGGGGGCUUCUCUGGAGGGGACGACUGUCCUGGGCGCAGGUGUGGCUGGAGAGGAGGGAGGUGAGGCCGCCCGGGCCAGUGGCGCUGCAUGCUGAGUGGCGAGGAGGGCGGGCCUCGGUCAGUAGUGGCCAGCGGGUCCCAGCCCCGGCGCUGAGGGAGGGGUCGCUUCAUCCCCCCGGCUCUCACCCACCUGUCUCCCACCCCCGCGAUGUGAUUCAGCUGCUCACCCUACCAGAGUCUCUCCCGUUCCUUUGUUCUGUGUCUGGCCGUGGGAUGGGACGCGGGCGGAGGCUGGGAAGGCACCUGCUGGCUCUUCCUCUCACCCUCACCAUCGCAGAGCAGUGUGGAGAAUGAGACACACUCAAGGGAUGGGACAGAGCUGCCUGGUGGCAGCCGAGAGCCAAGCAGCCCUAGAUGAGUGAGCCCUGAGUGACCCCGGCGAGGACAGAAGAGCCACUUGCUGAGCCCAGCCUGACCCCUGACCUGCGGCUUGAUAACAGCAGAGGGAGCCUCUAACCUCCCUCCUCCACUGGCGUUGGGAAACAGCCAUGGGGCUCACGGGGCCUCCUCGGAAGACCUAUGCCGCCCCUCCAUCACUCAGCUCCCUCAGCGUGGGGAGGAAAUGACUGCUCAGUUCUAUUAUCUCCAAAGCUGAAGGAUGAUCUCAAGUUUUAUCCGGUGAGGAAACUCAUUUGAUUUUAAAUGAUUUUCAGCCUGGAAGUUAGUAGAUUUUAGGAGGCUCUUAAAUAAAUUGCCUAGAAAUAAAGAUGAGCUUCUGGUUUACGGUGAAACUUAAUCUGUCCUGACUGGAACAUUUGCAGAGAUUUGGCUCAGGGAUGCUGGACCUGGCUGGGCAGAGCAGAGAGACGGGGGUGUCCUCAAGUGUUAAAAAUGGGGUUGUGCAAAUGUGCCACAUCUGUGACAUUUAUUGUUCUUUGUGCUUUCGCAUGUAGAAAAAUAAAGCAAAC
Molecule: long non-coding RNA, 1475 nt
Organism: Pongo pygmaeus (Bornean orangutan)
Lineage: Eukaryota; Metazoa; Chordata; Mammalia; Primates; Hominidae
Exons: 3
Source: RefSeq, a predicted model, not a curated record